Molecule: ribosomal RNA, 435 nt
Filed under: uncultured bacterium
Lineage: Bacteria
Description: partial 16S ribosomal RNA
Rfam family: Bacterial small subunit ribosomal RNA
Source: RNAcentral
GAUGAACGCUGGCGGUAUGCUUAACACAUGCAAGUCGAACGGACUCUUCGGAGUUAGUGGCGGACGGGUGAGUAACGCGUGAGAAUCUGGCUUUGGGUUCGGGACAACCACUGGAAACGGUGGCUAAUACCGGAUGUGCCGAGAGGUAAAAGAGAAAUUGCCUGAAGAUGAGCUCGCGUCUGAUUAGCUAGUUGGUGAGGUAAAGGCUCACCAAGGCAGCGAUCAGUAGCUGGUCUGAGAGGAUGACCAGCCACACUGGGACUGAGACACGGCCCAGACUCCUACGGGAGGCAGCAGUGGGGAAUUUUCCGCAAUGGGCGAGUGCCUGACGGAGCAAUACCGCGUGAGGGAAGAAGGCUCUUGGGUUGUAAACCUCUUUUCUUAGGGAAGAACAAAAUGACGGUACCUAAGGAAUCAGCAUCGGCUAACUCCGUG